GGCUAGUCUGCAGGCUGUGAAUUAUCUCGACUGAUGGUUACAAACAGAACUUCUCGUUCUUCUCUUCCCUCUUCUCACUACUACACUUGACUAGUCUUAA
RNAcentral lists this Y RNA (100 nucleotides) under Saimiri boliviensis boliviensis (Bolivian squirrel monkey). RNAcentral describes it as "Y RNA (ENSSBOG00000004024.1)". It matches the Rfam family "Y RNA". Rfam says of the family: Y RNAs are components of the Ro ribonucleoprotein particle (Ro RNP), in association with Ro60 and La proteins. The record is from Rfam by way of RNAcentral. Lineage: Eukaryota; Metazoa; Chordata; Mammalia; Primates; Cebidae.